GUAGGGCCCAUGGAUGGCAGACGGGCCCACAGGGAGUGCUAGCCUGCAGACGCAUGGGCCAGCCACAUGUGGGCAUGUGGCCCAAUGGGCGCAUGGCCCAACAGGUACACGACCCAGCAUGGGCCGACUGCAAGCAUGAGGCCAAGCACGGGCGCGCUCAGGCGUGCGCGGUGCACGGGCCGGCCCAGCGCAUGCAAGCGCCCAAGCCCAAUGCCCUGCAUGGUCCACCAUGGAAUACAAAAUGUUGGGUGGUUCAUGGAGGCCGUGUGGACCAAUCACGUGGUCCACAUGUGGUCUAUGGGUGAUUUUGCACGAUCCGAUGGCUCUGGAGCUAGCCGUUCAUGAUCGGAUGGUUGAGGAUGACUCCAGGCAUGAUCAGGUUUGAUCUGAGGCCUUGAUGUGUGCAAUCAGAUAGCUCUGGUGCGACCCAAUCAUGAUCGAAUGGCCACGGAUGGUUCUAAGAUUUUAUUCAGCCUUGGUAUCCUAUAGAAAUAGUAUUUUGGAGUUUCUGAAACCUAUAUAGCUUCGAUUGACAAGUCAUUUGUUGUGUUGGAAUGUUGAUGAUGUUCUGAUCAUGUAAAGAAGACAUCAGAGCCAAGGAGAGGCCUUGGUAGCCACCGAAAGAAAGUUUGAUGUUUGCUGAGGGUGUGCAGCAGGUAGAGCAGACAUUGUAGAGCACCGAUAGGGGAUCGAGG
Molecule: long non-coding RNA, 695 nt
Filed under: Elaeis guineensis (African oil palm)
Lineage: Eukaryota; Viridiplantae; Streptophyta; Magnoliopsida; Arecales; Arecaceae
Description: long non-coding RNA (EGUI_LNC014742)
Source: RNAcentral